This 352-nucleotide unclassified non-coding RNA is filed under the name soil metagenome. RNAcentral describes it as "partial contains 5.8S ribosomal RNA, internal transcribed spacer 2, and large subunit ribosomal RNA". The stretch from base 1 to 120 matches the Rfam family "5.8S ribosomal RNA", at positions 35 to 154 of the family's 154-position model. The record is from RNAcentral.
GAUGAAGAACGCAGCGAAAUGCGAUAAGUAGUGUGAAUUGCAGAAUUCAGUGAAUCAUCGAAUCUUUGAACGCACAUUGCGCCUUCUGGUAAUCUGGGAGGCAUGCCUGUUCGAGCGUCAUCAAACACAUCCUCAAGCAUGCGUUGCUUGGUCUUGGGGGAAGAUGUUCGCAUCUCCCCUGAAAUCGCUCAGCGGAAAAGCCAUCUCUGUCCACAGGUGUGAUAAAAUUACUGUUCGCCUGGUGACUUGGAGGGUGUUCCUGCUGUCAAUGGCCCCCCAGCUUUCUCAUGAGUUUGACCUCGGAUCAGGUAGGGAUACCCGCUGAACUUAAGCAUAUCAAUAAAGCGGAGGA